GAGGGAGGUGAAAAGAGCCUGAAACCAGAUGGCUACAGGCAGGUAGGGCGUGAAAGAGCUUUAUGCUCAGCGUCCUGCUAUACGUUCCGAAAAACGGGCCAGGGAGUUUCUGGCGAUGGCGAGGCUAAGUGCUUUAAGCACGGAGCCGUAGCGAAAGCGAAAGCCUGCAGUGUCUUAUGACACGAGAGGCGAGGUAUGAUUGCCUUAAGUCAUCGUCAGAAGACCCGAAACCGGUUGAUCUAUGCGCGGCCAGGUCGAAGCCUUCCUUAAGGGAGGUGGAGGACCGAACCGGUGCUGACGUGCAAAUCGCUCGGAUGAGCCGCGUAUAGGGGUGAAAGGCCAAUCUAAACCGGAGAUAGCUGGUUCCCUCCGAAGCUUCCCGCAGGAAGUCCUCCGGCGAGGUAGGUGGCGCGGUAGAGCACUGAUUGGGUGUUUAGAGGAGGAAACUCUUCGGCACCCUGUCAAACUCCGAAUGCGUCACCGCCGUAGACCCGGGGAGUUCGGGCGCCUGGGGUAAGCUUGGUGUCCGAAAGGGAAUGAACCCAGCCUUACGUUAAGGUCCCCAAGUACUGGCUAAGUGCGACCCAAAGGCGGUCCACAUCCUAAAACAGCUGGGAGGUAGGCUUAGAAGCAGCCAUCCUUUAAAGAGUGCGUAACAGCUCACCAGUCGAGGAUGUGGGCUCCGAAAAUGGACGGGGCUCAAGCCAGUCACCGAUACGUAAGCACGAUGAGUGGGUAGGAGGGCGCGGUGUAUGGGCAGAAGCUGGGGCGUGAGCUCCAGUGGACCGUGCACCGUCGAGAAUCCUGGCGAAAGUAGCAGCAAAGUCGGGUGAGAAUCCCGACCGCCGAAGGGGCCAGGGUUCCACGGCAAUGUUCGUCAGCCGUGGGUUAGCCGGUCCUAAGGAUUACCCCAACUGGAGUAAUCCGAAAGGGAAGCGGGUUAAUAUUCCCGCGCUACCAUAGACUAUACUCCAUGUAUGAAGCAUCUGGAUAGGCUGAGUAGUGCAGUCGCACUAUCUAAGCACUUAAGCCCCCGGAGUGCCGUAAUGGCGAGAAGGGGGUGAAGGUGUGAUGGGGUCCCCAAUUGAGGGGACUUCAGCUGAUUCCUGGUGCCCGUGAAAAGUACAUGGCGUGGUCUAUGGUAUCCGUACCUAGAACUGACACAGGUGCCCCUAGGUGAGAAGCCUAAGGCGUGUCGGACUAAUCCGCCCGAGGGAACUCGGCAAACUAGCCCCGUAACUUCGGGAGAAGGGGUGC
RNAcentral lists this ribosomal RNA (1257 nucleotides) under Thermoplasmatales archaeon. Its description in RNAcentral is "partial 23S ribosomal RNA". It matches the Rfam family "Archaeal large subunit ribosomal RNA", at positions 522 to 1848 of the family's 2987-position model. Lineage: Archaea; Methanobacteriati; Thermoplasmatota; Thermoplasmata; Thermoplasmatales. The record is from RNAcentral.